Molecule: transfer RNA, 69 nt
Filed under: Dipodomys ordii (Ord's kangaroo rat)
Lineage: Eukaryota; Metazoa; Chordata; Mammalia; Rodentia; Heteromyidae
Rfam family: tRNA
About the family: Transfer RNA (tRNA) molecules are approximately 80 nucleotides in length.
Source: Rfam by way of RNAcentral
GGGAAAGUGGCUCAGUGGUAGAGUGCUUGCCUUGCAUGCAUGAGGCCUGAGUUCGAUUCCUCAGCACCA